GGCCUUAUAUUCAUUUGGUGAUACUAGACUGCAAUGUUAGUGGGGUAUAAUUUACUAAGGCUU
This 63-nucleotide transfer RNA is filed under the name Tricholepidion gertschi. Its description in RNAcentral is "tRNA-Cys". Lineage: Eukaryota; Metazoa; Arthropoda; Insecta; Zygentoma; Lepidotrichidae. The record is from RNAcentral.